AAAAACUGAGAUCUCUAGUCGAGUUAAAUUUAGAUCACUACAAAUUGAAAGAUAUUGAUUUCAUCCGGCCUCUUGACAAGCUGGAAGUACUUCGACUAACAAUAUUGCGUUAUCGAAAAAAAUUGAACCAGCGGUUUCUUUGAGAGCGACGCUUCAGGACAAGAAAUAUAUCAAAAUCCUAAGCUUAGAUGGCAGUCCAGAUUUAGUUGAAUUAAUACGACCGUUUUUAUGUGUUUCCCAAACUUGCGGACUAUUAGUCUGCAGGGAACGGGCCUGAGCACACUACGCGCGGACGACUUCGCCUUGAAUGUGGUGCACACCCUACGCUUGGACAUCAGUUACAACCCUUUGGCCUGCGACGCGGACCUGGCCUGGAUCUGUAGCGAAACCAACACCAGUGGCUCCGACUUCACCCUCCUGUGGGCCGAGAACACCUACUGCACCAAGCCGCACCUGAUCCGACUUACCGAGUUCCAAGCCCAGAAUGCUCAGGUCAUGAAUCGAGCAACUCCUCGGCCCGGUUUCAAAGACAAGUACCUCACGGACGUCAAUAUCGUCACGGCCUCUGAUAUCCUCUUCGUGUGUUUGACCCUGGUGCCUGUCGCCAUGCUCAUCUUACACAUCAUCGCCUCUCAUCGGAAUCGACAACGCUCUAUGUCCACUGUUUAUCCGAGACAAAAUAGUGGUGAUAGGUACUUAUAUUGAGCGAAUGACUGUGAUAAUCAAAAUUCGAGCGCGAAACCAGGGACGUUUUGAGGGGAGACGAGAAGGGCACCUUAUCAAAGAGGAUCUAAGAAGGGUCUGAGGGGGGUCACCAGAGACAAGAGACCUCCACCGGCCAAUCAGAAGCGCUAAACCGGACUUAAAAGCGGUCCAGACUCGUCCUAAGUAUAUUUAGGUACGGUGGAAGGACCGAAAAAAUUCAGCCCGUGGCCUCUUGGCGAUAGAGUACCUAUAUUGAGAGAGUAUGGCCACUGGGCCCCAUGGAGAGGCUUAGGACCCAAAAAUGGCGGUUCUUUGUUUUGGUUUUUGUGGAUGGGAGGGGGGUCAUUGCCAACUUUUGACGGUUACCACCAACCGUACUUGCUGCCAACCUUACUACAUCUAAGAUAAUUUUUCUCAAAAAUUGUACACGAUUAGUCUUAAAAAUAUGUAAAGAAGUCGCAAUAGUGCAUUUGAGUAAAUUUCUCGUUACGAUAAGCAAAGAAAACUACAUUUUGAGUCAUUUUGCAUUGCAUUAAUUUAAGGCGUCCGCCAUUUUUGGGUCCUAAGGGCUCCAUUCAGCCUAAGAUGGCUGAGCCAAUCAGAGGUGGUAACGCCAGUGGCCAUACUCUCUCAAUAUAGGUACUCUACUUGGCGAUAGGUGGAAACUUUUACUUUCGGCGAUUCAACAAUUCCUUAUGGACAAUUAUGAGGGAGCAACAGUCAUCACUCUUUUUUUCAGCUGUUGACCUACUUACAUGGUGGAUGAUGAGCUUCGGGUAACGUCAUGAGCCAAACAAGUUUCCCAAACUUCGGCUUGGUUGCAAAAUGAAACUGCCAACACGUUGCUAAACAUCGACCAUGUCGGCAAGUCACCAGUUUAGUGUUGAUGUACCGGAAGUAAAGGCUUCCACCAUGGUCGAGAUACGAGUGGAGGGUCUCUCAGGCCCGGUCCGGUCCCCUCACAGUCUCGCCCACAAUACGAGGGAUUGCAUCCGUCCUGAACCACGGAUGAUCCUUCAGAACACUCUCUUAAGAAAGAUGAUGAGAAAUAAAACUACACGAAAUACUUAAUCUUGAUAUCUAAUUUUGAGGGAAAAUGUAAACUGUUUUAUUUGCAUUUUAAGCAAGAAUACCGCAGCCUACCUGCAAACUGAAGAUUUUGUAAGACGCAGGAAAAUCUUCGCCAUUUUUGUGAUUUUGUUGUUAGAUUUUUAUACAUUUCAGAAGUAGGCAUUGGAGAAUUGCAGUAUUGAAUUGGAGGAUUGGAGAAUGCAGAAUUGGAGGAAAUCAAAACCAUCAGCUUGCGUAUUUUAUAUUGUAAAAUGCUGCAAAGGCGCUGAAUUGUCACAGCCUUAUGAUUUUCUAUCUCUAACGGUUUUUGACGGCCUUAGGUACGGGAUAUAAUAAUAGCUUCUGAAUAGUGCUCAUUAGUUAAGUUACAUCAUAAAAAAUGAUCACGUUCGAAUAUUUAAAUAGGGCAUUUCAUUUAUGAGUGCAGGAAACAUUCCUGUCAAAAUUGCGUGGGGUCUCAAACAUAAAAAAAGUAUUCGUAUUUUGUACUGUAGCACAAAUAUAAAUUUAUUAUCAUAAAAAAGUUAAAACUAAUGACUACAACACUCAAAAUUGAUGAGAUUUCAGAAAUAUCUUACAGGUAGGUAGUAAAAAAUUAGGUAGAUGAGAGAUAAAGUUAAACAAAGGUUAAUGUAAAAUCUUGAUAGAAUUAAUUUUGCAUUAUUGCCGGCUCUUUAUCGAUAUUAUCAUUUAUUUUUUGCAUUUAUUAUCUCUAGAGUAUAAGUGCACAAACUAACAAAGGCAUCUUAGGUUUCCACGUACCUGGAUACAGGGAUUUAAUUUUGUAGACAGAGAGAUGUGAAGAAUACAGUGUGUGUGAUAACAGAAACGUUUUACACGACGUUGUAUUGAGAUUUUCAGCUUUAUGCUGAAUUUUGGCUAAGAAACUCCAUCAUACUGAGAAACGUUUUCCUUGUUUUUCAUGAAAUGCAAAAAAAUACUGUACGUAUAAAAAAGAUUCAAAUAAUUGAGGUAUUAGAAACUUAUUUCCUAAGAAAAGAGGAACGAAUAGGAUCCUUAAUAUAGAGUUCUUGUGCAGGAAGGAGAAAGGGAAAUUUCCUCUGCCGCAUCGAGUUAGAAAGUAUGAGUAAACUCCUUUUUUUUAAAAAAAAAUUAAAUAAAUGAAAAAAAAACAGUAAACAAUUUUCUUAGAAUAAGUAAUGUUCUCGUGCGUAAAUGUACGCUCACGUGGUUUUCUACAAGAAAAUAUGCGGAACCAUCUGAGAUAAUCCAACAAUGCAUUUCAUUGUUUGACCGUAAUUGCUACAUACAUUGUUUUCGUAAAAAUAUGUUCACACGAACCCUCUCAUUCAUUGAUUGACUAAUCAAACAUAAAAUGUAUCUUUGGUUUUCAAAAGCAACAAUUCCACUGGUCCAUGCGGGAGGGGGGGGGGGGGGGAAGAAUCGAGAGUGAAUGAUGAAAUGUACAUUACAGAGACGGCACAAUUACAUAUCGACGGUGAAACUACCAAACCACGUAUCUCGUUUGCGGUGUUUAAAAAUCUACGUUCACCUUUUAUUUUUUUAAAGUAGACCAAAUGAAUAUCAUUCCUUGAAAUUUUCACAGAAUUUUUCCCGCACGAAGAGGAAAAAUCACAGAAAUUUUCAAGACUGGACGUUAAGUAGUUUUUCAUUUAAAAAAUAAAGUAUGACAGGAAGUCUGCGACGUCGCAAACCGAGAUACGUGGUUUAGUAGUUUCACCGUCGAUAUUGCGUAAAUGCAGGAAACUAUUAAUAAUUACCAGAAUAACAGGACGAAAAAUCACAAAUAUAUGGGUAGGUUACCAGAAACUGAAAGGAACUAAGUGGCAUGGACUUGAAACUGAGAAAAGUAUGCUGGGAAUGCCGAUCAUCCAUAAGGACCAGGAUGCAAACUUAAAGUCUCCUUGUGCACUAAAUUUUUUUUUUAUUAUUAUUAUUAUUAUUGGUGUCACUGGGUCCAUUACACAAUGUCACUUGGUUCGCUUUAGCUUGAAUAUACCCAUUUGUACUUGCCAAAUUUGAAAACAGGAGUUUCUGAACAUUAAAAAUUUAAUCACCGGUCAUUUCAUUUAAAAUACGGAUAAAACAAGAGACAAAAUUACAGAUGGAUAUUCAUUGGUGAAAAAAUGAUUAAUCGAAAACACAAAUGCGCUGACUAAUCCUCGGUUUUUCAUGAUGAAAAAAAAAAAAAAAAAAAAAAAAAAAAACCAUACCUAGUAUGCUGAAUAACAGCUAUGUGGGAGUUUUAAAACGUUCUCCUCAACGUGAACAUUAGUAUUUUAACACAGCUUGGUUCCGAUCAUGAUUGACAUUUUUUUAAAUGGAGGGUGUUAUCAACCUAUUAAAAAUUCGUCCUACGACCAGUGAAAAGAAAAAAAAAAGUUAAAAAGUUCAGGAGAAGCAUAAUGCCCUUGUGCCUAAAUACAUUUUCCGGUAGUUUCCUACCAGAGAGUCUCGCAGUGGUUAUUCUCGCGUCUAACGAAUCAAAACGAAUAGGACGCAAUUCCACAGAGAGACCAUCAAACUUAAUAAUAACGAUUUGGGACAUCCCAGCGAUUUACAAGAACCAGUGCCAUGAUAAUAAGACGUGCACGUCCAAAAUGGUAGCUGCCUUAAAACCAACUUUUUAAAUCUCUAAAAAGAAAAAAUAAAUGGCCCAAGUAGCAAAAUAGAAUUUUUUCUAGAAAAAAAAUAUUAAAAAAUUUCUAGAAAAAACAAAGAAAAUGAGAGUUAUCCAUUAAAUAGAAAGAAAAACAUUGCGAGUCAAAAGUCUGACUAAAGAAAAUAGAUCUAUUUCAUAGGUCUACUUUCUGUCCAACUUCUCAUUAGGAAAAAAGAUAGAAAAUUUAUUGGAAGUAGAAUUAUUUCUAGCCAAUUUCUUAAUGUUUUCUUUUAAGAAAAUGCAAGGAAAAAAUGUAUUUUCUUUCUAUUUUCUUGUGUCUAUUUUCUAGAUCUACUUUAUACCUAUUUUCUUUCAAGAAAAUUGUUCUAUCUAGAAAGAAGACAUUUCCUUGAUGAGCGCCACCUAGAAAGUAGAUGACAAUGCUACUUGGGGGGCUACCGGUCACUUUCACGCCAGGGGCGUAUUCAGCAAUUUGGCAACAACGGAUUCCCUCUAUUUAAACCUAUGUUAAAUAAUCGAUUCUUGGAGGGACCAGGUGCCCCUCCAAGAAUCGAUACAUAUCCAUAGGUUUAAAUGGAGAAAAACAGUGUUGCCAAUUUGCUGGUUCCGCCAAUGUUUCACGCUUAUCGAACCGUGGACCGGUCGGAAUUCGCAAGGAAAAGACAGACAAACAAGGUAAUGGCCGACAAAAAAA
This 5075-nucleotide long non-coding RNA is filed under the name Bemisia tabaci. Its description in RNAcentral is "lncRNA ENSSSA2NGG001751". Lineage: Eukaryota; Metazoa; Arthropoda; Insecta; Hemiptera; Aleyrodidae. The record is from RNAcentral.